Molecule: ribosomal RNA, 253 nt
Filed under: uncultured bacterium
Lineage: Bacteria
Description: partial 16S ribosomal RNA
Rfam family: Bacterial small subunit ribosomal RNA
Source: RNAcentral
UACAGAGGUCUCAAGCGUUGUUCGGAUUCAUUGGGCGUAAAGGGUGCGUAGGCGGCGCGGUAAGUCGGGUGUGAAAUCUUGGAGCUUAACUCCGAAACUGCAUUCGAUACUGCCGUGCUUGAGGACUGGAGAGGAGACUGGAAUUUACGGUGUAGCGGUGAAAUGCGUUGAUAUCGAUAGGAACUCCGGUGGCGAAGGCGGCAUACUGGAUCACUUCUGACGCUGAGGCGCGAAAGCCAGGGGAGCAAACGGG